Molecule: long non-coding RNA, 244 nt
Filed under: Homo sapiens (human)
Lineage: Eukaryota; Metazoa; Chordata; Mammalia; Primates; Hominidae
Description: non-protein coding lnc-ITGB3BP-11:1
Source: RNAcentral
CGGCUAAUUUUUUUGUAUUUUUAGUAGAGACGGGGUUUCACCGUGUUAGCCAGGAUGGUCUCGAUCUCCUGACCUCGUGAUCCGCCCGCCUCGGCCUCCCAAAGUGCUGGGAUUACAAGCGUGAGCCACCGCGCCCAGCCCGAUAAUUUUUGAAAACAGUCAUUUGCCUGUGGUUUACAGAGCACUCUGACUGUUAUCUCAGUGAGUGCUUAUGCCUGUGAGGUAGGUACACCAUUGUUACCAU